AUAGACCACUGCUUGCUGCGGGCCAAGUGGGAGAAAUUUGUAAGAAAAGAGUUGAUCCCAGCCAAUGAGUUGAGAAAGGAAUGAGACCCCCAUGGCCAUGCCCCACGCAUAAAUAUGCCUAUGUAAUCCAACGUCCUAAAAAUCAUUUUGUUUGAAAUUAUACAGCUAAUCAAUUCAUAAUUAUAUUAUCUUCUUUGUUUUUAAAUUGGCAGAUAAGAUUGAUGAUUUUUAAUACCCACUUGCGCGUAGGGAACUGAACACAGCUCUAUAUUGAACGAUAACUGAGAAGAGGAUGGCGAUUAGCAUUGCCUCCAUUUGAGACCACUUAGGAGAAGUGGGGUCAAUUCCAUAAUUUCUUGCUCACGUCUAAGAAAUUGUUAAAGGAUUCCAAAUCUAGAACUACUCUUCAUCACUGAACAGAACUGAAUGAUGCAAUUGCAUCCAUUUCCUGCUGUAGAAGAAGAGCAUCAAUGAAGACAUCCAGACUCUCUCCCUGCAUCACACCAUCUAUUGAAUGAUGAGUAAUGCCAACACGAUGAUCAGUGACACGCCCUUGAGGAAAGUUGUAGGUGCGGAUGCGUUCAGAUCUGUCUCCACUACCAACCUGCUCUAAUCGAAGUUUCGAUCGAGUCAUCUGAAUUCUUGACCUUUCCAUUUCAUAUAGCUUUGCACAGAGCACCUUAAGGGCUUUUGCUUUGUUCAUGUGCUGGGAUCGUUCAUCUUGUAUGGACACUGUCAUCCCAGUUGGUAAAUGAGUUACUCUAACAGCGCUAUUGGUGGUAUUUGCAUGCUGGCCCCCUGAACCACCAGAUCUGUAAGUGUCAAUCCUCAAAUCUUCAUUCCUCAACUGAACAUCUACCUGCAGAGACUCAGAAUACAAGAAAUCUGAAGCAGUCCAAUUACAAUAAUGAGAAGGAAGCAUAAGUACACAUUGAAGUCAUAAUAAUACUUCCAGUUACUAUUGUGAAUUGAAGUUAACUGUACAAAUGCUUAGAUAAUAAAAAUACCAUUUCCUCAAUAAUUAUAAGUCAAAUCUUCCAAAGAAAAAAAAAUCCAGUCUCUUAGUUAAUGAAACACAGAACAUCACUUAGCAUUUAACACCUCAUCAGCUUGAGGAAGGAUAGCAACAGAAACAGCACUAGUGUGAAUGCGUCCAGACUUCUCUGUUACAGGAACACGCUGAACUCUGUGAAUUCCACUCUCAAAUUUAAGUUUCCCAAAAACACCAGCUCCAGAAAUUGCAGCACUAGCUUCCUUGUAUCCUUUCAAAUCAGAUUCGGUUAUAUCAACAACUUCAUAUUUCCAACCAUUCAUCUGUGAGUAUCUCUCAUACAUUUUGAAUACAUCCAUUGCGAACAAAGAUGCCUCUUCCCCUCCAGUUCCUGCUCUCACUUCCAAAAUACAAUCCCUCUCAUCAGCAUCAUCCCUUGGAAGUAAUGACUUCAGAAGCAAAUUCUGAAAUCUUUUCUCUUCCUCCAUUGCCUGUCUCAAUUCCUCAUUUGCCAUGUCAAGCAUGUCUUUAUCUUCCGGACAUUCAGCCAUCAGUGAUCUUAAACCAUCUAUUUCCUUUUGUUUAGACCUCAAUUGAAUUAUAAGGUCCAUAAAGCCCCCAAGUUUCUGUAGUUCUUUAUUAGCUCUUGCAUAUUCUGUAGGCGACACUUCUAGCUGAUUUAUGAAAUUCUCAAGACAAGCACUUCUAUGCUCAAUAGCUGAUAACCUUUUCUCCAUGAUUCUAAUAAGGUCAGGGGACAGUUGUGAUUGCAAUUCUACAAUUAAAUAAUUUUCAAAAAUGAUCAAAACGAAACAAAAAUUCUGAUAGCACAUUGUGAAGCUAAAUGCUUAUAAAUGAGGUGACAAAUGUUCAAAAAUGACUAGUCACCCUUUGAUAAACCUGCAAGAACAUAAAUUUGAAUGUAGGUUUUUAUAUUGAAUACGUCUAUUAGUUUAUACAUAAAAAAAUGGAUAGAAAUAGAUCACGAUUUGCUGAAUCAAUCAGUCAGAAGAACAUGCUGAAAAAUGAAUUGAAUAUUUCUAAAACUAAAUUACUAAAAUUACCUAGUAUACAAGAUGUGUUGAAUGAAAUAAAUUAUAUGGAAAGCUAGGGUUUUGGAAAGAAACAUCAUCCACUAACAUAAUCCCAGUAAAAUAGCAUACAUGCAGAGGUGAAGUAUAUGUCAAAAUUAUUGAAGUCGUAAGAAAACCCCACCGGUUGAGAAAGAGCGAGGAAAGAGGAGAAAAACAUUGGCAAUGGCUGAUGGAAGAAAUGAUUUUCGAUAGCAAGGAUUUGUAUGCGAAAUUGCAGAGACGGAUUGAAGCUGCUCUAUUGCCCAGACCAUAUUGAUGCUCCACUUCAGCCCUCUAUUUAUUCUCAUUUUACCUGUACGCUAUGCCCCAAUCCAGAAUCAGUUCUGCGAUGGAGAAGAGGCAGUGCUAUUGCAGAUGCAGAUUCUUAGGACUUGGGAGUACAACCUGGAGGUGGAACUGGAACGGGAAACGGGAAAGCACAAACAAUACCCAAUCCUACGACACCGAUUCGACUUCCAGGAACAGUUUGACGUCGUUUAUGUGACAAGACGCCGAGAAAUUAUAUCCUACAUCUUCAGUACCUUUAUAACCUUAGAAUCGACUUUUGGUUUAAACAGAACGGCCAGGAUCAUAAUCAAUGCUCUGAUCUUCCUCUAGCAAUCGAACACCUGUCUACCACCCAAAACUCUCCACUCUCCCAAGCAUUCAAUGUUAAUAUUAAUAUUAAAAAAAUAAUAAAAAUAGAGAAGUCUCUCCCUCUCAUCUCUAUUACACAAAAGGAGAGGUUACAGAAAUGCAGGGCGAUGAAGCCAGGGUCUUGCUAGGCUUCCCUCCCAAUUCCCGCCCCACCGCCUCCCAGGUUAAAGCUGCUUACAGAAAGAAGGUAUGGGAAUCUCAUCCUGACCUUUUUCCCGUUCACGAAAAGCCUAGUGCUGAGUCCAGGUUCAAGUUGAUUUCAGAAGCUUACACUUACCUGCUGUCUGGUAAUUUUCUCCUGUCUGCAUAUGUUAUGAGACAAAUCAAAGAGUAUUCCCAAGUGAUCAUGGUUUGCAAAAUCCCAAAUGGACGGUAAAGAAGUUAUUGGAUAAACUUGCAACUCGGAGUUUGAUGCUUAAGAUACUUGAUUUAUUUAUAUUAUAAACUUUUAGAAAUGGAUUGUCAAACCAACCAUAUCAUUCUGUUUCCUGUCUAACUGUUGAGAUAUAUCCUGACUCUGUUGAUUAUGCGUUUCUUGUGUUUUAUUUAUUUUAUUUUAUUUUAUUUUUUUUUUUUUUAUUUUAUUUUAUUUUUUAAGUUUAUUAAGCACUUUAAUUCACUUGUUUGGGUGUCUAUUAGCUAUCAACUGUACUUAAAAGGUGAACCAAACACCCCCUUAGUCUUGAUUCUUAUUUUUAUCUUAGUAUUUCUUCCUGUGAUUUUUUUUGGCCUUCCGCUUUAAAUUAUAAUUGUUGAUAGUAUUGAUUGUGAAUUGUUUCAUUCUGGUUGUUAUUUUAAUUUCUUGGAAUUUUACUUGUUUUGGUAGCUACCAUGACGGAGGAAACUUCCAAUGAUGUGAAGGACGAGGUGGCAGAACUUGCCCCCUUUGAUCCUACCAAAAAGAAGAAGAAGAAGAAGGUUGUCAUACAGGAUAGCGCAGAUGAUUCUGUGGACAAGCUCACUGAGAAAACUGAAUCGAUAUCAGGUACCUGAAGUGGAAUUUUACUUAUAUUGGUUUUAUUUACUUUACAAAGUAUGUGUGAAUGACUUGUGUAAGGACAUGAAUUGCAUUUGUUAUGGGUGUUAUUAUUAUUAUUAUUAGUAUUUUUUUCUCUAAUUGCAGUCUCUGAUGGCCUUGAGAGUACAUUCGCUGGUUUGAAAAAGAAGAAGAAGAAACCAGUAGAAUCUGGUAUUUUAAAUGAGGAAAGUGGGGAUGCAGGAGAAGAUUUGGAUGGAGAGAAUGAAGGAGGAGAAGGAAAUGCCCAAGAACAGCAGCUUUAUCCUUGGGAGGGGAGUGAUCGUGAUUAUGAAUAUGAGGAGCUCCUUGGUAGGGUCUUCAAUAUUUUGCGUGAGAACAAUCCAGAGCUUGCAGGAGAUAGGCGGAGAACUGUGAUGAGGCCUCCACAAGUUCUUCGUGAGGGAACAAAGAAAACUGUUUUUGUAAACUUCAUGGAUCUCUGCAAGACGUAUGUUUAUGUUCCUUCUCUUUAGUUUGUGUGUGUUGUUCACUAUACAUUACUUUGUUACCAUUUCUAUGACUUAUGUAUGCUUUUCAUCUUUUUUUAAUGGGUGAAAUUAUUUAAUAAUUUUGGUAUGUCUUAUAAUAACUGGUUGGCUGUAUUUUAUUUCUCAGAACUUUUUUGGCCUAUUCAUACUGCGGAAAUAAAAUUCCUGUUUUAGGAUGUAUGGAUUUGCUCAUAUUUUUCCAUACUUUUGUUUGUGACAUACUAAUGUUCAUAGUAUUUGAUAUCUUUUUUUUUUUUUAGAAAAAAAGUUAUUUUAAAAUUUAUUUACCAUGUAAUCCUAUAAUUCUUGCCAAACAAGCUUAGUUCAAUUGAUUUUAGUUAUUUUUCUCCUAAUGAAACUACAUCUUGUGGUGAUGAAGACAUAUUGCAUGUACAGUUGUGUGCAAAAUGACUUUUAUUUGUAGAUAUGUAGUAGUUAAUAAUUUGUAGGUGAGUUGUCACUCAUUAGGCGUUGAGAGUAUUAAGUUCUUGUUGAUAUAUACAAGACUGCAACUUUGUGAAAGAAAUCUAUGAUUCACUGAAAUAAUUUCUUUAUGUUAUAAUGGGUAUGUGUGCAUUUGCAUUUAUACCAGGUGUGCUUGGAGGUCCUCUUCCUAUCUUGUCUAGAGUUGUUAAUGAUGGUCAUUCAGUGUCAAACUGUGAUGCCAAUAUAUGUGAUGGUAUAAAAGUAAAUUGUAGCUUUAACUUUAUGGUUGAAAUGGGAUCAGUCGUUAACUUGUAAGUAUCUAUUUUUAAACACAUCAUUUCUGUCCUCCCAACUUGAAUCCUAAAUUUCCACUUUACUGUUGCCUUCUUCUGUUGUGGGCAAAAUGUCUAGAAUGCAUCGGCAGCCAGACCAUGUCAUGACCUUCCUACUUGCUGAGUUGGGGACUAGUGGAUCACUUGAUGGACAGCAAAGGUUAGUCGUGAAGGGAAGAUUUGCUCCCAAAAAUUUUGAGGGGAUCCUGCGUCGAUACAUUAAUGAGUAUGUCAUUUGCAUUGGUUGCAAAAGUCCAGACACAAUACUUUCAAAGGAGAAUCGUCUCUUCUUU
RNAcentral lists this unclassified non-coding RNA (5278 nucleotides) under Hevea brasiliensis (rubber tree). Lineage: Eukaryota; Viridiplantae; Streptophyta; Magnoliopsida; Malpighiales; Euphorbiaceae. The record is from RNAcentral.